AUUGAACGCUGGCGGAAUGCUUUACACAUGCAAGUCGAACGGCAGCACGGGGGCAACCCUGGUGGCGAGUGGCGAACGGGUGAGUAAUACAUCGGAACGUGCCCAGUCGUGGGGGAUAACGUAGCGAAAGUUACGCUAAUACCGCAUACGAUCUACGGAUGAAAGCGGGGACCGUAAGGCCUCGCGCGAUUGGAGCGGCCGAUGUCAGAUUAGGUAGUUGGGGAGGUAAAGGCUCACCAAGCCGACGAUCUGUAGCUGGUCUGAGAGGACGACCAGCCACACUGGGACUGAGACACGGCCCAGACUCCUACGGGAGGCAGCAGUGGGGAAUUUUGGACAAUGGGCGCAAGCCUGAUCCAGCCAUUCCGCGUGCAGGACGAAGGCCUUCGGGUUGUAAACUGCUUUUGUACGGAACGAAAAGGCUCUGGUUAAUACCUGGGGCUCAUGACGGUACCGUAAGAAUAAGCACCGGCUAACUACGUGCCAGCAGCCGCAGUAA
Molecule: ribosomal RNA, 499 nt
Filed under: uncultured bacterium
Lineage: Bacteria
Description: partial 16S ribosomal RNA
Rfam family: Bacterial small subunit ribosomal RNA
Source: RNAcentral